GGCGAGGCGGCGGCGUCGCGAGCGCCCCGUUUAGGAUCGUCGUCAGCUUUGUGACCAUGACGGGUCCGCGGGAUCAUCGCCCACGCGGCGCGGGGGCGGUGGGCGCGCCUCCCGGCUUAGUUCCGGUCCUUGAAAACAUUUCUUUUUUUUUAAUAAUUUUUUUUAUUUUCCCACUGUACAGCAAGGGGGUCAGGUUAUCCUUACAUGUAAGAAAACAUUUCUUAAAAGGGAGGCGAAAGGGAGAGAGCGAGGGCUAAACCGACGCCGCCACAGAGAAGUCCCCCUUGCGACAGGUGCAGGCGAAACCGAGGUUCCGCGCUGCGCCCUGUUCCCGCCACCGACGCACGGAAGAAAGUCUAAAGAUGAGCACCGACGGCUGCUCGGGGCCGAGGGUCCAGCCUAGCGUCUUGGGCACUUGCCGUGUCCGCAGGCUGGUUUGGUUCCGGCCGAGCCUCCCCAGCAGACGCAAAGGGCUCAGUAUUGACGGAACAAACACCUGCUGGCGUGAGACCUUCUUCGGCCCCGACCCACACGCGACGCGCACCACGAGCCCAGGUGAGUCAGGCUGCCAGUGCGUGGCUGCCCUCUGACCCCGAGGGGCCCCCUCCCCGGGGCCGCGCUGCCCCUCACCUGCUGGGCGGCGCUGGUCCAGUCCGUCCUCCAGAUGUGCACCAGGUAGAAGAGGGUCUGCAGGGACACGCAGACCGUCAGUCCGGACCAGAGACCUGCGGGUGCAAAGCGAGGGACCCCGUUUCGCUUUUCUCCAUCCUGCGACCGUCAGCGCAGCGCUGUCCCGGCCCCGCGGUGUCCACACAGCGAACGGCACUUAGAACAGCGCCCCGAGACGCGCGGUCCUUAGGGACCAGGGUCAGCCGCCUGCGUGCCCUGGCCUCUCCGGGGCAGUCGGUCCAUCAGUCACAAUAAAAAGCGCCCCCCAGACUGUCUGCUGCUUUAUAUGCGGCCCCGACGAGUAUUUCCGGGCUCUGUCUGGGCUGGGUGGUGGUGGAAGGGCUGGAAACGCGGAAGGAACAGGCCGAGGGGGUCAGCGCCCUCACAAGGCUUAGGAGCUCCUGGGGAGACACCCGGUGGCCAAGGAAACACGACGCUGCUAAGAGUGACCAGGGCCCAGCAGGACGUGGGCCGAGCCGUGACCUGCAGCCCCGCCA
This 1166-nucleotide long non-coding RNA is filed under the name Sus scrofa (pig). Its description in RNAcentral is "lncRNA (ENSSSCG00025033044.1)". Lineage: Eukaryota; Metazoa; Chordata; Mammalia; Artiodactyla; Suidae. The record is from RNAcentral.